ACCAAAGUAGUUUAAGCCAAAACACUAAUUUGUGGCAUUAGAAAAACCAGUUAAAACCCGGUCUGUGGUC
Molecule: transfer RNA, 70 nt
Filed under: Pentaceraster mammillatus
Lineage: Eukaryota; Metazoa; Echinodermata; Asteroidea; Valvatida; Oreasteridae
Description: tRNA-His
Rfam family: tRNA
About the family: Transfer RNA (tRNA) molecules are approximately 80 nucleotides in length.
Source: RNAcentral